RNAcentral lists this ribosomal RNA (253 nucleotides) under uncultured bacterium. RNAcentral's name for it is "partial 16S ribosomal RNA". It matches the Rfam family "Bacterial small subunit ribosomal RNA", at positions 524 to 776 of the family's 1533-position model. The record is from RNAcentral.
UACAGAGGUGGCAAGCGUUGUUCGGAUUUAUUGGGUGUAAAGGGCAGGUAGGUGGUUGUGUAAGUCCGCUGUGAAAUCCUAGGGCUCAACCCUAGAACUGCAGUAGAAACUACACGACUUGAGUGUCGGAGAGGUGAGGGGAAUUCUCGGUGUAAGGGUGAAAUCUGUAGAUAUCGAGAGGAAUACCAGUGGCGAAGGCGCCUCACUGGCCGACAACUGACACUGAGCUGCGAAAGCAAGGGGAGCAAACAGG